This 1113-nucleotide long non-coding RNA is filed under the name Junco hyemalis (dark-eyed junco). Its description in RNAcentral is "lncRNA (ENSJHYG00000008469.1)". Lineage: Eukaryota; Metazoa; Chordata; Aves; Passeriformes; Passerellidae. The record is from RNAcentral.
CCACUUUCCUGUCACACGUGGCUCCUUUUCCCUCACAGAAUUGCCCCUCACGCCAGUGCUGGGUCCUGGCUGUGCCAGCUGGUGCCACAGGUGACUCAGGGCUCGUGUCACGGCAUUGAUGUCACCUCCUGCCAUCAUGGAGCCUUUCAGGUGCUGUUUGCACCCCAAAAUUCAGCUGUGGGAUUUGUUUCCUCAGCAGUUUCUCCAUGUUGGUUUUGGGAUGGUCUGCUGUAUCCAGGAGGCCUGAGCCAGGCCAGGCCCUGCUGGCUGUCCCCAUGCUGGCUGUCCCCAUGCUGGCUGUCCCCAUGCUGGCUGUCCCCAUCCCUCAGGUCUCCCAGGCCAGGCUCUGUCCGUCCGUCUGUCCAGCUGUUUCCCGCCCUCGCUGUUUCCUUUCCCUGCAGCUCUGUGUCAGCCUUUGUCCGUCUGUCAGCCCUGACCCGGCUGUUUCCGUCCCCCUGUCUGCCUGUGCCAGUCCCCAUCACUCCUGUCCCUCUGUCCUGGCAUUUCCUGUCCGUGUGUCUGGCAGUGCCCGGCCUUGGCCUCGCCCUGCUGCUGCUUGUCGGCUCUCCCUGCCCUGCCUGUCCUGGUGUCCGGUGCCAGCUGCUCUCUGCCAGCUGCCCUGUGCCUGUCCUGCUCAGCUCACGGUCCCUGUCCCUCUGUCCUGGCUGCUCCUGGCCUGGGUGUCCCCUGCCCACCCCCGGGUGUCCCACUCCUGUCCCUGUCCUAGUCCCUGGGUGUCCCUUUCCUGAUCCUGUUCCUGGGUGUCCCCUGUCCAUCCUGGGUGUCCCACUCUUGUCCCCGUGUGCCCUGUCCUGGUCCCUGGAUGUCCCUCCCUGUUCCCGGGGGUCCCUUGCCCAUCCCGGUCCCAUCCCAGUGCCAGUGCUGGUUCUGCUGUCCGGUGCCGGUUCCCGUUCCCACCCCGCCAUCCCAGUGCUGGUGCCGGUUCUGCUGUCCUGGUGCCGGUUCCCGUUCCCGGUGCCGGUUCCCGUUCCCACCCCUCCAUCCUGGUGCCGGUUCCAGCUGUCCCGGUUCCGGUUCUGCUGUCCUGGUUCCCGUUCCCUUUCCCACCCCGCCAUCCCGGUGCCGGUUCCCGGUCCCUCCCGCCGGGCGGGC